Non-coding RNA from Oryctolagus cuniculus (rabbit), 4382 nucleotides. The record is from RefSeq and is a predicted model, not a curated record. Lineage: Eukaryota; Metazoa; Chordata; Mammalia; Lagomorpha; Leporidae.
UCCAUUUAUAUACUUUGUUAUAUCCCACUUAGUGUGAUUUUAUUUAUGCAUUUUAUUACAGAAAAACGAAUGUGUUUAUUUUUUGGAGAUUGACCCAAUAUCACUGGAGAAGUUAUGUAAUAAAGAAGGAAUGUGCACCUGCAAACUCAAAAAGAUUCUGAAUUCAGAAAUACAUUGUUCUCAAAGGCUGAGGGAGUGGAUUGUGUUGUUAUAUCAGAUUUCAGAAAAAGAAAAAGUUAUCUUUGAAGUGAGGCUUGCGGAGUUGGUAGAUUGGCAGAGGCAGGAGCUUCAUGAAAAUCAGCUGUCUUCAGUUUCCUCCUCUAUGAACAGAGAUUAACAGAAUCUGAAUUGCAGAUAAUUGUGAAGAAAAAGAGGUUUCCUUUUUGGUGUUCAGUCAGUUGUCAUCGAUCAGGGAGAACAUAUAAAAUCCACUCAACAUGGAUUAAAGACCUAAAUCUAUGACCUGACACCAUCAAGUUAUUAGAGAACAUUGGAGAAACCCUUCAAGAUAGUGGCACAGGCAAAGAAUUUCUGGAAAAGACCCGGGAGGCACAGGCAGUCAAAGCCAAAAUGAACUAUUGGGAUUGCAUCAGAUUGAGAAGUUUCUGUACUGCAAAAGAAACAGUCAGGAGAGUGAAGAGACAACUGACAGAAUGGGAAAAAAUAUUUGCAAACUAUGUAACAGAUAAAGGGUUAAUAACCAGAAUCUACAAAGAGAUCAAGAAACUCCACAAAAACAAAACAAACAACCCACUUAAGAGAAGGGCCAAGGACCUUAAUAGCCAUUUUUCAAAAGAGGAAAUCCAAAUGGCCAACAGGCACAUGAAAAAAUGUUCAAGGUCACUAGCAAUCAGGGAAAUGCAAAUCAAAACCACAAUGAGGUCUCACCUCACCCCGGUUAGAAUGGCUCACAUACAGAAAUCUACCAACACAGAUGCUGGCGAGGAUGUGGGGAAAAAGGGACACUAACCCACUGUUGGUGGGAAUGCAAACUGGUCAAGCCACUAUGGAAGUCAGUCUGGAAAUUCUUCAGAAACCUGAAUAUAACCCUACCAUAUAACCCAGCCAUCCCACUCCUUGGAAUUUACCCAAAGGAAUUUAAAUUGGCAAACAAAAAAGCUGUCUGCACCCUAAUGUUUAUUGCAGCACAAUUCACAAUAGCCAAGACCUGGAACCAACCCAAAUGCCCAUCAACGGUAGACUGGAUAAAGAAAUUAUGGGAUAUGUACUCUUUAGAAUACUAUACCGCAGUAAGAAACAACGAAAUCCAGUCAUUUGCAACAAAAUGGAGGAAUCUGGAACACAUAUGCUGAGUGAAAUAAGCCAGUCCCAAAGGAACAUGAAUUAUUUUUACCUUUUUGUGAGUUUUGGAGAUUGUACUCCCAGUUUUUUUUUCUGUGUUCUGUUUUUUCAGUUUAUCCUUACAUGUAUGCACUGGUCAGUACUCGACUGGAUACUCAAGAAGGACCUGCAGGGCGGUGGAGUUCUUUCUGUGUAGCACCCCAUCUUUCAGUAGUCUGCCUCAUGAACUCUACCUGCCUCAGCUUCUCCUGUCUCUCAGCCCUGUCUCCUCAACUUACAAAGAUUACUGGACUACCCCUGGUUUUUCCUUUCAUACAAAAUAGAAAGUUUAGGCAACUCAGAUACUUCCCUCAGUAUUUUUCCUUUCUGUUAUUAUUGUCCCAUGUGACCUGGAAUCCAAUAUCAGGAAGACAUUGUUUCAUAUAUUUUGUAUGGACUUUCAUUUGUAUCAUUAAUUUGGUAAAUCUAGUCUCUUGUUCUCUAAUUUUGCUAGAGGAAGAAGCAGGAGUAAUGCUUUAUAAGUCUUCCUUUUAUCCUUAACUUUUUGCAUUCAUACCUUUGUGUUUUGAAAAGGUAUUUCACCCUAUGUAGGGUGACUUUUUAUUUUAACUAUUGCUUUUUUGUUUUCCUUUUUUUAACUAUUGCUUUUGAGGUAGAAGUUUCAGGUAAGACAUCUACCUCGGUAGAGAACUGAAAUACAAUAUUGAAAUUGUGAUGAAUAUGAAAAAAUUAUUAUUCACAAAAUGAGGCUUUCUAAGGAAAACAAGGAAGGCUCCCAGGCAAGUCUGAAAAUAGCGUGAAGGAGCUAGGAGCAGGAGAUUGGCUUGGCUUUUUUGUGAUUAGGAGAUGGGCUAGAGUAAAGAAACAACUCACUGGAGCAGUCUUGCAGUCUUACAUGGUUUGAACUUCCUUCUUUUUUUAUUUUUUAUUUUUAUUUUUUUGACAGGCAGAGUGGACAGUGAGAGAGAGACAGAGAGAAAGGUCUUCCUUUUGCCGUUGGUUCACCCUCCAAUGGCCGCUGUGGCUGGCACGCUGCGGCCAAUGCACCGUGCUGAUCUGAUGGCAGGAGCCAGGUACUUCUCCUGGUCUCCCAUGGGAUGCAGGGCCCAAGUAUUUGGGCCAUCCUCCACUGCACUCCCGGGCCACAGCAGAGAGCUAGCCUGGAAGAGGGGCAACUGGGACAGAAUCUGGUGCCCCAACCGGGACUAGAACCCGGUGUGCCGGCGCCGCAAGGCGGAGGAUUAGCCUAGUGAGCUGUGGCGCCGGCCUGAACUUCCUUCUUGGGGCCAAUGAUAUAGCACUGGAAGAUACCUCUGAUCACUGAACCCACGUGUGGGACUGAAGGAGAAGCCUAAGAGGUAAGGUUUUAAGACUCGCAGGAGUCUAACAUCAAAAAUGAAGGUAGACACUUAAUUAUAACUCACCCCUGAUCUUUCACUGAUGAUGGAAAUGGGCCACCUUUCACUUAGUUGAAUUGAAUAUGUUGAAGUAAAGUCAUUAUGACACUUUAUAAGAUCCACAGCCUGAGAUCAGCAAGAAAGGGGAAAGUUUCAUUAUAUGCCUUUUGUCAAAAUCUAGCACUGUGUGUUUUGGAAAAUGAAAUAAGUGCCUUGGUCACUAUCAAUAAUGUUUAGCCCUUUGGAGAGAUUUAGGGAUGCAGACUUGUAUUGUGGCCUUAGUAUGUGCAGAGACAUGCAAGACCUUCAUUUAUAUUUUGGAAUGUAAAGCAACAUAGGAAUAAGAAAUUAUUACUAGUCUAGAUGGACAUACAUUGGCAUUGGCUCAAGAGUCUGUGAAAGUAUGGCCAGGGCAUCCAGUGUUUUUCUGUGAUUGCAGGACGCUUGGUUAAUUUUGCCAGGCUUUGAGUCCUGUCUUUGACAGAGACAUCUCGGUUGAAGCAGCAGUGCUCCAGUGAGCAAGCAUCAUGUAUUGGUGGUGCUGCUGUACGCGAAACAUACAACCCACUCUACCUGUUUACUCAGCUAUUCCCAAGAGGACCCUUAGGGAGCUAAGCAUUCUGUGAGAGGAGGAUACACCCUCCAGAGCUACGUAAUCCAGCAAAGGACUGAAGACAGGCAUCCUCCAGUGGGAUAUGGCAGAGCUCUCCAGGUUGGCUCUUUUCAAGUUUGGAUUUAUCUUGUGAGCAGUAUUUCUAUUUUAGCAUGGAGGCCUUGGUAGCCAUGCUGAGCCCUAGGACUUUCACUUCCAUAUCCUCAGGGAUAAUGGGGACCUGAGUGUCAGGGGUCCCAAGCUCUUGUCCUUAGAUGGCUUAGUAUGCAGCCAAGUGAUUACCCUCGAAUGGUAUUUAGUGUGUAGCUGAGGUGGGCAGUUUAUAUGCUAGAAAUCCCUGGGCAAAUUAUAAACAUCUUGGGUGGUCCAUAGGUUCCCACAGGUGUGAGCAGAGUUUUCAAAAGCCUUUUUGGUAAAGAAAUAUCUGAGGGAACACUAUGAAAAAUGUUAUUAUUUUGCAAUUUGGACUACAAUUGUUGCUGUGGGAUCCCCAUCCGAGGUGGAUCAAUCUGCAAGAAAUAGGAUAAGUGGUUGUAAGUGAAAAUUUAACAUGGAGAAUAUGUUGGUUUCAAAUGUAAAAAGGGUUUAAAAAUAUUCAUCUUAUUUUAAUAUUGUUAGUACUAGAGAGUCACUAUUUCUUGAUAACAUUAGGGAUAUAGUUGCCCCUGGCUUACCAAUACCUAUUAUGCCACAGCCCUGGCUCUACCAAAUAGUUUUUGUAGACUUAAGCAAAAUGUCAUGAUCUCAUACAAUGACUGGGCCAUGGAUCUAUCCACUCUGAGGGUGACAAAUGAGUUUCCUUGGAGGAGGAUUCCAUCACUGUGCUGUGACUAUGCAGAAUUGAGGCAAGGCAACAAUUUUGAUGAGUAGACUAAGGCGUAUGAGUUUUUCCUCUAAACUGUGUUAAGUCACUUCUCCCAUAACACAGUGGUUUAUCUUGUUCAGAUUUCAUAGGACCCCCAGGAAUCAGUAAUUUGAGUUUCAGUAUUGAUUAAGAUAAUGAAGUUUUACCAAUCAGUGCAUUUCAGUAGAUGAUAAAGUUAAUUUACAUUCUAUGUUGUGAAAAUACA